RNAcentral lists this ribosomal RNA (465 nucleotides) under uncultured bacterium. Its description in RNAcentral is "partial 16S ribosomal RNA". It matches the Rfam family "Bacterial small subunit ribosomal RNA", at positions 28 to 507 of the family's 1533-position model. The record is from RNAcentral.
GACGAACGCUGGCGGCGUGCUUAACACAUGCAAGUCGAACGGAAAGGCCCCUUUUGUGGUGCUCGAGUGGCGAACGGGUGGGUAACACGUGCGUAACCUGCCCUUGCCUUCGUGAUAACUUCAUGAAACUAGGUCGAAUACCUGAUAGGAAUCCUUUCUUCAUGGUUGGGGUUGGAAAGCUUCGGCGGGUUUGGGUGGACUCGCGGCUUAUCAGCUUGUUGGUGGGGUAGUGGCUUACCAAGGGUUUGACGGGUAGCCGGCCUGAGAGGGCGAACGGCCAAAUUGGGACUGGGAUAAGGCCCAGAAUCCUAAGGGGGGCAGGAGUGGGGAAUAUUGGCAAAUGGGCGGAAGCCUGAUGCCGCAAAGCCGGGGGGGGGAUGACGGGCCUCGGGUUGGAAAACGGUUUCAGCAGGGGAGAAGGCUGUGGUGACGGUACCUGCAGAAGAAGCACCGGCUAACUACGUG